GUGAGGAAUAUUGCGCAAUGGGGGAAACCCUGACGCAGCGACGCCGCGUGGGUGAAGAAGGCCUUCGGGUUGUAAAGCCCUGUCAGGUGGGAAGAAGUGCAUCAUGGCUAAUAUCCAUGGUGUUUGACGGUACCACCAAAGGAAGCACCGGCUAACUCCGUGCCAGCAGCCGCGGUAAUACGGAGGGUGCAAGCGUUGUUCGGAUUUACUGGGCGUAAAGGGCGCGUAGGCGGCUUUAUAAGCCAGAUGUGAAAGCCCACGGCUUAACCGUGGAAGUGCAUCUGGAACUGUGAGGCUUGAGUAUGGGAGGGGAAAGUGGAAUUCCCGGUGUAGAGGUGAAAUUCGUAGAUAUCGGGAGGAAUACCGGUGGCGAAGGCGACUUUCUGGACCAAUACUGACGCUGAGGCGCGAAAGCGUGGGUAGCAAACAGGAUUAGAUACCCGGGUAGUCC
Molecule: ribosomal RNA, 451 nt
Filed under: uncultured bacterium
Lineage: Bacteria
Description: bacterial SSU rRNA
Rfam family: Bacterial small subunit ribosomal RNA
Source: RNAcentral